CAGAGGGUGCGAGCGUUAAUCGGAAUUACUGGGCGUAAAGCGUGCGUAGACGGUUGUUUAAGUCGGAUGUGAAAGCCCCGGGCUCAACCUGGGAAUUGCAUUCGAGACUGAAUAGCUAGGGUGCGGUAGAGGGAAGCGGAAUUUCCGGUGUAGCGGUGGAAUGCGUAGAUAUCGGAAGGAACAUCAGUGGCGAAAGCGGCUUCCUGGACCAGCACCGACGUUCAGGCACGAAAGCGUGGGGAGCAAACAGGAUUAGAUACCCUGGUAGUCCACGCCAUAAACGAUGAGGACUAGACGUUGGAGGGGUAAGCCUUUCAGUGUCGUAGCUAACGCGCUAAGUCCUCCGCCUGGGGAGUACGGCCGCAAGGUUG
This 371-nucleotide ribosomal RNA is filed under the name uncultured organism. RNAcentral describes it as "bacterial SSU rRNA". It matches the Rfam family "Bacterial small subunit ribosomal RNA", at positions 526 to 896 of the family's 1533-position model. The record is from RNAcentral.